RNAcentral lists this ribosomal RNA (377 nucleotides) under uncultured bacterium. RNAcentral's name for it is "bacterial SSU rRNA". It matches the Rfam family "Bacterial small subunit ribosomal RNA", at positions 521 to 896 of the family's 1533-position model. The record is from RNAcentral.
UAAUACGUAGGGGGCGAGCGUUGUCCGAAGUUACUGGGCGUAAAGAGCGCGUAGGCGGGCUCCUAAGUGAGGGGUGAAAGGUUCGGGCUCAACCCGGAGAGUGCCUUUCAUACUGGGAGCCUUGAGUGCGGGAGAGGCAAGUGGAAUGGUCGGUGUAGCGGUGAAAUGCGUAGAUAUCGAUCGGAACACCCGUGGCGAAGGCGGCUUGCUGGCUCGCAACUGACGCUGAGGCGCGAAAGCGUGGGGAGCAAACAGGAUUAGAUACCCUGGUAGUCCACGCCGUAAACGAUGAGUGCUAGAUGUCCGGGGUAUCGACCCCCCUGGUGUCGCAGCUAACGCAAUAAGCACUCCGCCUGGGGAGUACGGCCGCAAGGUUG